GGACGAACGCUGGCGGCGUGCUUAACACAUGCAAGUCGAACGGAAAGGCCCUGCUUUUGUGGGGUGCUCGAGUGGCGAACGGGUGAGUAACACGUGAGUAACCUGCCCUUGACUUUGGGAUAACUUCAGGAAACUGGGGCUAAUACCGGAUAGGAGCUCCUGCUGCAUGGUGGGGGUUGGAAAGUUUCGGCGGUUGGGGAUGGACUCGCGGCUUAUCAGCUUGUUGGUGGGGUAGUGGCUUACCAAGGCUUUGACGGGUAGCCGGCCUGAGAGGGUGACCGGCCACAUUGGGACUGAGAUACGGCCCAGACUCCUACGGGAGGCAGCAGUGGGGAAUAUUGCACAAUGGGCGGAAGCCUGAUGCAGCAACGCCGCGUGCGGGAUGACGGCCUUCGGGUUGUAAACCGCUUUCGCCUGUGACGAAGCGUGAGUGACGGUAAUGGGUAAAGAAGCACCGGCUAACUACGUGCCAGCAGCCGCGGUGAUACGUAGGGUGCGAGCGUUGUCCGGAUUUAUUGGGCGUAAAGGGCUCGUAGGUGGUUGAUCGCGUCGGAAGUGUAAUCUUGGGGCUUAACCCUGAGCGUGCUUUCGAUACGGGUUGACUUGAGGAAGGUAGGGGAGAAUGGAAUUCCUGGUGGAGCGGUGGAAUGCGCAGAUAUCAGGAGGAACACCAGUGGCGAAGGCGGUUCUCUGGGCCUUUCCUGACGCUGAGGAGCGAAAGCGUGGGGAGCGAACAGGCUUAGAUACCCUGGUAGUCCACGCUGUAAACGGUGGGUACUAGGUGUGGGGUCCAUUCCACGGGUUCCGUGCCGUAGCUAACGCUUUAAGUACCCCGCCUGGGGAGUACGGCCGCAAGGCUAAAACUCAAAGGAAUUGACGGGGCCCCGCACAAGCGGCGGAGCAUGCGGAUUAAUUCGAUGCAACGCGUAGAACCUUACCUGGGUUUGACAUGGAUCGGGAGUGCUCAGAGAUGGGUGUGCCUCUUUUGGGGUCGGUUCACAGGUGGUGCAUGGCUGUCGUCAGCUCGUGUCGUGAGAUGUUGGGUUAAGUCCCGCAACGAGCGCAACCCUUGUUCACUGUUGCCAGCACGUUAUGGUGGGGACUCAGUGGAGACCGCCGGGGUCAACUCGGAGGAAGGUGGGGAUGACGUCAAGUCAUCAUGCCCCUUAUGUCCAGGGCUUCACGCAUGCUACAAUGGCUGGCACAGAGAGUGGCGAGCCUGUGAGGGUGAGCGAAUCUCGGAAAGCCGGUCUCAGUUCGGAUUGGGGUCUGCAACUCGACCUCAUGAAGUCGGAGUCGCUAGUAAUCGCAGAUCAGCAACGCUGCGGUGAAUACGUUCCCGGGGCUUGUACACACCGCCCGUCAAGUCAUGAAAGUUGGUAACACCCGAAGCCGGUGGCCUAACCGUUGUGGGGGAGCCGUCGAAGGUGGGACUG
This 1436-nucleotide ribosomal RNA is filed under the name uncultured organism. RNAcentral's name for it is "16S ribosomal RNA". It matches the Rfam family "Bacterial small subunit ribosomal RNA". The record is from RNAcentral.